This 1524-nucleotide ribosomal RNA is filed under the name Streptococcus suis. RNAcentral's name for it is "bacterial SSU rRNA". It matches the Rfam family "Bacterial small subunit ribosomal RNA". Lineage: Bacteria; Bacillati; Bacillota; Bacilli; Lactobacillales; Streptococcaceae. The record is from RNAcentral.
GACGAACGCUGGCGGCGUGCCUAAUACAUGCAAGUAGAACGCUGAAGUCUGGUGCUUGCACUAGACGGAUGAGUUGCGAACGGGUGAGUAACGCGUAGGUAACCUGCCUCAUAGCGGGGGAUAACUAUUGGAAACGAUAGCUAAUACCGCAUAACAGUAUUUACCGCAUGGUAGAUAUUUGAAAGGAGCAAUUGCUUCACUAUGAGAUGGACCUGCGUUGUAUUAGCUAGUUGGUGAGGUAACGGCUCACCAAGGCUUCGAUACAUAGCCGACCUGAGAGGGUGAUCGGCCACACUGGGACUGAGACACGGCCCAGACUCCUACGGGAGGCAGCAGUAGGGAAUCUUCGGCAAUGGGGGCAACCCUGACCGAGCAACGCCGCGUGAGUGAAGAAGGUUUUCGGAUCGUAAAGCUCUGUUGUAAGAGAAGAACUGUGAGAAGAGUGGAAAGUUUCUCACUUGACGGUAUCUUACCAGAAAGGGACGGCUAACUACGUGCCAGCAGCCGCGGUAAUACGUAGGUCCCGAGCGUUGUCCGGAUUUAUUGGGCGUAAAGCGAGCGCAGGCGGUUUGAUAAGUCUGAAGUAAAAGGCUGUGGCUUAACCAUAGUACGCUUUGGAAACUGUCAAACUUGAGUGCAGAAGGGGAGAGUGGAAUUCCAUGUGUAGCGGUGAAAUGCGUAGAUAUAUGGAGGAACACCGGUGGCGAAAGCGGCUCUCUGGUCUGUAACUGACGCUGAGGCUCGAAAGCGUGGGGAGCGAACAGGAUUAGAUACCCUGGUAGUCCACGCCGUAAACGAUGAGUGCUAGGUGUUGGGUCCUUUCCGGGACUCAGUGCCGCAGCUAACGCAUUAAGCACUCCGCCUGGGGAGUACGACCGCAAGGUUGAAACUCAAAGGAAUUGACGGGGGCCCGCACAAGCGGUGGAGCAUGUGGUUUAAUUCGAAGCAACGCGAAGAACCUUACCAGGUCUUGACAUCCCGAUGACCGCCCUAGAGAUAGGGUUUCUCUUCGGAGCAUCGGUGACAGGUGGUGCAUGGUUGUCGUCAGCUCGUGUCGUGAGAUGUUGGGUUAAGUCCCGCAACGAGCGCAACCCCUAUUGUUAGUUGCCAUCAUUCAGUUGGGCACUCUAGCGAGACUGCCGGUAAUAAACCGGAGGAAGGUGGGGAUGACGUCAAAUCAUCAUGCCCCUUAUGACCUGGGCUACACACGUGCUACAAUGGCUGGUACAACGAGUCGCAAGUCGGUGACGGCAAGCUAAUCUCUUAAAGCCAGUCUCAGUUCGGAUUGUAGGCUGCAACUCGCCUACAUGAAGUCGGAAUCGCUAGUAAUCGCGGAUCAGCACGCCGCGGUGAAUACGUUCCCGGGCCUUGUACACACCGCCCGUCACACCACGAGAGUUUGUAACACCCGAAGUCGGUGAGGUAACCUUUUAGGAGCCAGCCGCCUAAGGUGGGAUAGAUGAUUGGGGUGAAGUCGUAACAAGGUAGCCGUAUCGGAAGGUGCGGCUGGAUCACCUCCUUUCU